UCCGCAUUAGUGUAGGGGUUAACAUACUCCGCUUUCACAGAAGAGUCCCGGAGAGCCCCGGGUUCGAUUCCCGGAUGCGGAA
This is a non-coding RNA of Blumeria graminis, 82 nucleotides long. Lineage: Eukaryota; Fungi; Ascomycota; Leotiomycetes; Helotiales; Erysiphaceae. The record is from Rfam.